GGUGCUGUGGCUUAGUUGGGUUAAAGUGCCUGUCUAGUAAACAGGAAGAUCCUGGGUUUGAAUCCCAGCGGUGCCU
Morone saxatilis (striped sea-bass) is the source of this 76-nucleotide non-coding RNA. The record is from the annotation of a RefSeq genome assembly. NCBI's taxonomy places the organism in Eukaryota, Metazoa, Chordata, Actinopteri, Moronidae.